CGGAUCGUAAAGCUCUGUUGUUAGGGAAGAACAAGUGCCGUUCAAAUAGGGCGGCACCUUGACGGUACCUAACCAGAAAGCCACGGCUAACUACGUGCCAGCAGCCGCGGUAAUACGUAGGUGGCAAGCGUUGUCCGGAAUUAUUGGGCGUAAAGGGCUCGCAGGCGGUUUCUUAAGUCUGAUGUGAAAGCCCCCGGCUCAACCGGGGAGGGUCAUUGGAAACUGGGGAACUUGAGUGCAGAAGAGGAGAGUGGAAUUCCACGUGUAGCGGUGAAAUGCGUAGAGAUGUGGAGGAACACCAGUGGCGAAGGCGACUCUCUGGUCUGUAACUGACGCUGAGGAGCGAAAGCGUGGGGAGCGAACAGGAUUAGAUACCCUGGUAGUCCACGCCGUAAACGAUGAGUGCUAAGUGUUAGGGGGUUUCCGCCCCUUAGUGCUGCAGCUAACGCAUUAAGCACUCCGCCUGGGAAGUACGGUCGCAAGACUGAAACUCAAAGGAAUUGACGGGGGCCCGCACAAGCGGUGGAGCAUGUGGUUUAAUUCGAAGCAACGCGAAGAACCUU
This 563-nucleotide ribosomal RNA is filed under the name bacterium. Its description in RNAcentral is "bacterial SSU rRNA". It matches the Rfam family "Bacterial small subunit ribosomal RNA", at positions 419 to 972 of the family's 1533-position model. The record is from RNAcentral.